GUCCAGCCGCCGCGGUAAUACCGGCAGCUCGAGUGAUGUCCAAUAUUAUUGGGCCUAAAGCGUCCGUAGCUGGCCGCGCAAGUCCGUCGGGAAAUCCACCUGCCCAACAGGUGGGCGUCCGGCGGAAACUGUGUGGCUUGGAACCGGGAGGCUCAGAGGGUACGUCCGGGGUAGGAGUGAAAUCCCGUAAUCCCGGACGGACCACCGAUGGCGAAAGCACUCUGAGAAGACGGCUUCGACAGUGAGGGACGAAAGCUAGGGUCUCGAACCGGAUUAGAAACCCUAGUGUCC
Molecule: ribosomal RNA, 291 nt
Filed under: uncultured bacterium
Lineage: Bacteria
Description: partial 16S ribosomal RNA
Rfam family: Archaeal small subunit ribosomal RNA
Source: RNAcentral